Molecule: ribosomal RNA, 507 nt
Filed under: uncultured bacterium
Lineage: Bacteria
Description: partial 16S ribosomal RNA
Rfam family: Bacterial small subunit ribosomal RNA
Source: RNAcentral
GACGAACGCUGGCGGCGUGCCUAAUACACGCAAGUCGAACGCAUUUUCUUUCACCGUAGCUUGCUACACCGAAAGAAAAUGAGUGGCGAACGGGUGAGUAACACGUGGGUAACCUGCCCAUCAGCGGGGGAUAACACUUGGAAACAGGUGCUAAUACCGCAUAAUUCCAUUUACCGCAUGGUAGAUGGGUGAAAGGCGCUUUUGCGUCACUGAUGGAUGGACCCGCGGUGCAUUAGCUAGUUGGUGGGGUAACGGCCUACCAAGGCUGCGAUGCAUAGCCGACCUGAGAGGGUGAUCGGCCACACUGGGACUGAGACACGGCCCAGACUCCUACGGGAGGCAGCAGUAGGGAAUCUUCGGCAAUGGACGCAAGUCUGACCGAGCAACGCCGCGUGAGUGAAGAAGGUUUUCGGAUCGUAAAACUCUGUUGUUAGAGAAGAACAAGGAUGAGAGUGGAAAGUUCAUCCCUUGACGGUAUCUAACCAGAAAGCCACGGCUAACUACGUG